This 511-nucleotide ribosomal RNA is filed under the name uncultured bacterium. Its description in RNAcentral is "bacterial SSU rRNA". It matches the Rfam family "Bacterial small subunit ribosomal RNA", at positions 29 to 510 of the family's 1533-position model. The record is from RNAcentral.
AACUAACGCUGGCGGCGUGCCUAACACAUGCAAGUCGUACGAGAAAGUUGGCUUCGGCCGAUGAGUAAAGUGGCGCACGGGUGAGUAAUGCGUGGAUAAUCUGCCCUUUAGUUGGGAAUAACGUACCGAAAGGUGCGCUAAUACCUGAUAAUACUGCAUAACUACUGUUGUGUAGUCAAAGAAGGCCUCUGUUUACAAGCUUUUGCUGAAGGAUGAGUCCGCGUACCAUUAGCUGGUUGGUGGGGUAAUGGCCUACCAAGGCUACGAUGGUUAGCUGGUCUGAGAGGAUGAUCAGCCACACUGGAACUGAGACACGGUCCAGACUCCUACGGGAGGCAGCAGUGGGGAAUUUUGGACAAUGGGGGCAACCCUGAUCCAGCCAUGCCGCGUGAGUGAAGAAGGCCUUCGGUUGUAAAGACUCUUUCGUCCGGGAACGAAAUACGUAUGGGUUAAUAACCCUGUUGCGGAUGACGGUACCGGCGAUAAGAAGCACCGGCUAACUAACGUGACC